RNAcentral lists this ribosomal RNA (253 nucleotides) under uncultured bacterium. RNAcentral's name for it is "partial 16S ribosomal RNA". It matches the Rfam family "Bacterial small subunit ribosomal RNA", at positions 524 to 776 of the family's 1533-position model. The record is from RNAcentral.
UACGUAGGGCGCAAGCGUUGUCCGGAAUUAUUGGGCGUAAAGAGCUCGUAGGCGGUCUGUCGCGUCGGUUGUGAAAACCCAAGGCUCAACCUUGGGCCUGCAAUCGAUACGGGCAGACUAGAGUACUGCAGGGGAGACUGGAAUUCCUGGUGUAGCGGUGAAAUGCGCAGAUAUCAGGAGGAACACCGGUGGCGAAGGCGGGUCUCUGGGCCGAUACUGACGCUGAGGAGCGAAAGCGUGGGGAGCGAACAGG